Lupinus albus (white lupine) is the source of this 3420-nucleotide non-coding RNA. NCBI's taxonomy places the organism in Eukaryota, Viridiplantae, Streptophyta, Magnoliopsida, Fabales, Fabaceae. The record is from the annotation of a GenBank genome assembly.
GCGCGGUGAGCGUAGUAGCCCCUCGGGCAUGCUCUUUGUACAACCAAGCGAAGAGCUAGUGAGGGCCGGAAUGGAAUAUCGUAUGUAGUGUAGAAUCGGAUCUGAAGCUCUUUACUAGGAUUGGAACAAGCGAGGAACGAGUGACCACAAGCUCCGGCGCUCGACAUGCAGUUAGCUUAAAACAUGUUCAUCAUGUGCAAAGAAAGAGGAAAGGGGCGAAGCGCACCUGCGUGAAGCAGCCUAGCAUCACUUUAGAUAGGAGCAGAAUGGAUGACUGACAACUGAAAGUUCUUCGGAUCGAUAUCUCGUACGACGUAAUGGAGAUCUUGGUCUAGGUCCGGUGGUUCGCAGAAUUCGGGACCUAACGAUGUUCGAUUCGUCACAUGAACGGGAGCGGACGAUUCCCUCGUCUCUCCCGUUCAUGUUUCGGGGAAUGGCUGCAAUCACAAGCAAGUGAUUGAAUGAGUGGGGGGCUCCGAAAGCACAUGCGGGAUAAGCAGGUCUUUCAGGAGACGGUCUAAGGGUCCGGUCUAGAAAGAAAAGAGAACUCUCAACAAGCUGGAACUAAUCAAGAUCAAUAGGAAGAGGAGUUAGCUAUAAAUGAAUUUUUUGACAAAGUUCAUGCCACGACGAUCUAUACUAUAUGGAAGGGCUUGUUGAUGCAUUCCUGUUGAAGUUGAAAAAGAGACAAACAUGAGUCUUUCAUUCCUCCUCCCGGAUCUGCUUGGAUUAUCUUAUAAUAAAAUAAGAGGAGUUAGCUAUUCUUAGGAAAUGACUGAACUUAAAAGAAAGAUGCCACCCCCUUUCAUUAGGAGGCGAGGGAGUAACUUGUCUGAUCUUGCGGUGCACUCACUCCCGUUACGAGAAUGAAAUGACGCCCCAGCUCGACUCGAGACCAAGACUCCUUACAACUCGCACCAAUAGUGAGCGGCCGGAGAUUGAUUGAAAAGGCAGCCGCCCCUCCCCCCUAGCCGCCUACCUACUCGUGCUCGUAGCUCGAUCGGAGGUGAAGACUUUUGUCCGGCGGAAAAAGAGAAGUCGUCCGUCUCAAGUGAUACGUUAAUUGCUCAGUAGUGCUUCGCCACUACCGUAGCUGGCGGAAAUAGCUUAAUGGUAGAGCAUAGCCUUGCCAAGGCUGAGGUUGAGGGUUCAAGUCCCUCCUUCCGCUCUUGGCUUCGUCGUUUAGUGGUAACGAGUAGAGUAGGCAUCGCCUCUCGAUCCAAUCCGUCUUUCCCUGGCCUCCCCAACACACUCUUGAUACGAAAGAAACCUCCCGCCAAUCGGAAUCGGAUUCGGAAAGAGAAGAAAGAGAUCUAAAGUCUGGGCAUCAUCCCCUCGAUCACCCUUCCCUUGAACCGGAACUGGUCGAGAGAGAUGAACCCGCACCACAUUUUAUAACCUUCGAACCGAAAGCCCCAACUAGAGAUGGAAUUCCAUAACCUAAAAAAGUAAAUUGAGAGCUCCCGGUUCAAUUCAAGGGAAGGUCCACCAAUAAUGGAAAGGCCAUUCCCCUCCCUAUCCCUUUCUUGAUCCCUCAUUCCACGAAUUAGUUUUUACUGAUUCAUUCAAGGACUGAAAGCUUUUCGUUUUAUGAAAAGGCAUAGACUCCCCACUUCUUUGUCUUAUUAGCGCAGGUGUUCGUCAACGAUGAAAGCCGCUGAACUUAAGAUAAGACUCGAGUUGAGAAAGAGGGCUAGGCCAAGGAUAGGAGGGCUUUCAGGGACUGGGGAGGGUGGAUUAUAGAGCUAGGGGCGGAUCAGAGGUUUGUCCAUUGGGAUUGGGCAUGGACGAGCCUCGACUGGGCCAGCAUUGAUGAAAAAAAAAACUUCUCCCAUCGCAUCAUUAACCGGUGUAGGAUUAAAGAUCAGGUCCAGGAUUCGAGUCAAAUCGACCUUCCCUCUCAUCUCAGGGUGAGGCAAGGUAGCUUGCUCAAAUGUUCGUUGUUCAAUAUCUCGGCUGCUCAAUUGGACUAGCUGCUCCCAUUCCUCAAAUAAACGACGGAGUGGACUCCCUUCUAGGGGAAGGGCAGAGCCUCACCUUGCAGUAGGAAGGUUUUCGUUGCUGGGACGGGUUCAGAAGGGAGGAGGAAUGAAAGACUCCGAUCUUACUGGGGAUUCAUCACUGGCUAGGGCUUUCUAAUCAAAGCAUGGGCAUCUGCAACUAAGAGGGAACAGUAGAUCGUCGAUGGAAGAGCCAGGUCAGUCAACUUCUAUUGGGACUUCUAUUGAUUAUUGAUUCGACUAGAGGGACUCCUAGCAAGAAACUUGUAUGACGGGGCCCCAUGGAGACGCAGGAGAUGCAGGAGUGAGAUAAACAGCCGGAUCGACCAAAAAAUGAUAGGCCAGAGGGAUGGGCUCAUUCGACUAAUUAGUGAUCCCUGGCCCUACCUAACAAAGAGAUGUCCCUAAAAAAAAAUAAGAGGGAUUGGUUGAUCGGAAAGCUCGGGCAGGAGUAGGACAUUCCAUAAAAAUCUUUCUGAUCCGCUAGCUCUCACUCCUUGCCCUAUUCGGUCAAGCAGCUUAACUCCUCUCACUAUUUUUUCAUCGACAGGUAGGGUGAAUUCUAAGGUUCCUUAUUCCGGUUCCGGUUGUAAAGCGGAACCGGAAGAAGAGGGAGAAAGAAUGGGCACAGCCCCACCAGCAGCCCGCGUUUUCGACCCGAAAGGAAUUGAAAAUGAAACAAGAAUCUGUGUUCACUAUCUAUGGAGCGGAGUGACUAUCCUGAAUCUCCUCUUCCCUAUCUCCCCCUUGCCUUUUUUUCUUUUUCUCGCCGGCAGGUAGUUGACUUGCUUACUUGUUAGAGUAAGGAGAAUCCAUUUAUUUAUUUCUGAUUGAUCUGUAGUUCAAGGGCACUCUUCCUAAUCCGAGUUUAAGAUGGAAUAAGACCCAGACGUAGAGUCCCGUCGGCCGGUAAGGGAUUUUUUCUAUUGAUUUUUGAUUCCCUUCAGUCCUUACCUUUAAAUAAGGGAUUCUUCUCUUUCCCCACGAGGUCUUCAAGCCAGAUGGAGUAGUGCAUCUCUGUCUUGAAAGCCCGCCCUACAGAUAGGAGUUCCUAUCUCUACUGCCUAUCCAACCCGAAGAUUCUUAUUCGUGGUGGAGUGCUUCGAGUAGGAUCCGACCCCAUCCCAGCAGUCAAAGUCCUUCCUGACCCGGCUCACCUGCCUCUGAAGCUUGAAUGCCUUUAUAGAGGAGGCUACCCGAGGAAUCGAUAAGUUUGAAGUGGGGAUGUGGAAUGUGAUUGGUGAUGGAUGGUGGUUAUUAAAUAAGUUCUGCAUCAGAUGAUGAGCCCGUGCGAAAACUUUUUCUUUUAUUGGCGCCCGAUAGGUAGGCUAUUCGAUUGAGUCGAAAGCCUACCAACGCACGCAUAAGGUUCCGCGAUUCGAGCGAGAGCCCAAACGGGGGAGGCGAGACAUCUUGAUCG